Molecule: ribosomal RNA, 663 nt
Filed under: uncultured bacterium
Lineage: Bacteria
Description: bacterial SSU rRNA
Rfam family: Bacterial small subunit ribosomal RNA
Source: RNAcentral
UAGUGGCGCACGGGUGAGUAACACGUGGGUAACCUGUCCUUGAGUUCGGGAUACCCUUUCGAAAGGAAGGCUAAUACCGGAUACGUUCCUCGGAUUGCGAAGUCUGGGGAGGAAAGGUGGCGAAAGCUACCGCUCUUGGAGGGGCUCGCGGCCUAUCAGCUAGUUGGUGAGGUAACGGCUCACCAAGGCUAUGACGGGUAGCUGGUCUGAGAGGACGACCAGCCACACGGGAACUGAGACACGGUCCCGACUCCUACGGGAGGCAGCAGUGGGGAAUUUUCCGCAAUGGGCGAAAGCCUGACGGAGUGACGCCGCGUGGGGGACGAAGGCCUUCGGGUUGUAAACCCCUGUCAGAGGGAAAGAAGGGUCGCCUGGCUAAUAUCCAGGUGAUCUGACGGUACCUUCAGAGGAAGCCCCGGCCAACUCUGUGCCAGCAGCCGCGGUAAGACAGAGGGGGCAAGCGUUGCUCGGAAUCACUGGGCGUAAAGGGCGCGUAGGCGGGAUGGCAAGUCGGUCGUGAAAUCUCUCGGCUCAACCGAGAAACGUCGGCCGAUACUGCCGUUCUUGAGGGAUGCAGAGGAGACUGGAAUUCCCGGUGUAGCGGUGAAAUGUGUAGAGAUCGGGAGGAACACCGGUGGCGAAGGCGGGUCUCUGGGCAUUUCC